AAACAUACGUAGAAUGGGAAGAGUAUAGUGCGAUCGCUUUUAGAGAGAGAAAUCAGUUGCUGAAAGAUUUCUUAAGUAUGAAGCAGUAGAAUGUCGCCCAGGAGUAGUUUCUUUGAAUAAGAGUAGAAGAAACCGGUAAAAACCGUUAUUUUGUUGAGUGUAUAGGCUAAGUCUAUUUUUUAGUCUAUAAAAAAAGGUGGUACCACGAAACUAUUCUCCUUUCGUCCUUUUA
This 232-nucleotide non-coding RNA is filed under the name Metabacillus harenarius. RNAcentral's name for it is "Bacillus weihaiensis T-box sequence". It matches the Rfam family "T-box leader". From Rfam's summary of the family: Uncharged tRNA acts as the effector for transcription antitermination of genes in the T-box leader family. T-boxes are found upstream of many aminoacyl-tRNA synthetase genes and some amino acid biosynthetic genes usually in Gram-positive bacteria. Lineage: Bacteria; Bacillati; Bacillota; Bacilli; Caryophanales; Bacillaceae. The record is from RNAcentral.